UUAAAAGGGUUGGACUUGAUUUUUUGAGUGUGGUCACCAGGAAUUCAAUUAAUUCCAAAGAGACUUAUUUACAAUUUAUUUACAAAUUAUAGAAAGAGUGAAGUAAGAAAUCAGAAAGAGUGGAACUUGGCUUGGAGGAGAUGCAGUGUGAGACUUCAGACUGCUUCCCUGAAACAACCACAUGGUUUGAAGGACUGGAUAAGCAAUGAAUCAGCAUAAAGCAGAUAAAUGACGCCCCCAAAAAAGGAUGAUAAAUAUUUGCAGAAUAAAUAAAUGAAUGAGUAAACUUCA
RNAcentral lists this long non-coding RNA (291 nucleotides) under Monodelphis domestica (gray short-tailed opossum). Its description in RNAcentral is "lncRNA (ENSMODG00000042043.1)". The record is from RNAcentral. Lineage: Eukaryota; Metazoa; Chordata; Mammalia; Didelphimorphia; Didelphidae.